GACGAACGCUGGCGGCGUGCUUAACACAUGCAAGUCGAACGGAAAGGCCCUGCUUUUGUGGGGUGCUCGAGUGGCGAACGGGUGAGUAACACGUGAGUAACCUGCCCUUGACUUUGGGAUAACUUCAGGAAACUGGGGCUAAUACCGGAUAGGAGCUCCUGCUGCAUGGUGGGGGUUGGAAAGUUUCGGCGGUUGGGGAUGGACUCGCGGCUUAUCAGCUUGUUGGUGGGGUAGUGGCUUACCAAGGCUUUGACGGGUAGCCGGCCUGAGAGGGUGACCGGCCAAAUUGGGACUGAGAGACGGCCCAGACUCCUACGGGAGGCAGCAGUGGGGAAUAUUGCACAAUGGGCGGAAGCCUGAUGCAGCAACGCCGCGUGCGGGAUGACGGCCUUCGGGUUGUAAACAGAUUUCGCCUGUGACGAAGCGUGAGUGACGGUAAUGGGUAAAGAAGCACCGGCUAACUACGUG
This 468-nucleotide ribosomal RNA is filed under the name uncultured bacterium. RNAcentral describes it as "partial 16S ribosomal RNA". It matches the Rfam family "Bacterial small subunit ribosomal RNA", at positions 28 to 507 of the family's 1533-position model. The record is from RNAcentral.